GCCGGGGUGGCGGAAUGGCAGACGCAGAGGACUUAAAAUCCUCUGGCCCAAAAGGCCGUGCGGGUUCGAGUCCCGCCCUCGGCA
RNAcentral lists this transfer RNA (84 nucleotides) under Acidobacteriota bacterium. Its description in RNAcentral is "tRNA-Leu". It matches the Rfam family "tRNA". Rfam says of the family: Transfer RNA (tRNA) molecules are approximately 80 nucleotides in length. The record is from RNAcentral. Lineage: Bacteria; Pseudomonadati; Acidobacteriota. RNAcentral also lists the same sequence under 3 other names.